This 305-nucleotide ribosomal RNA is filed under the name uncultured bacterium. RNAcentral's name for it is "bacterial SSU rRNA". It matches the Rfam family "Bacterial small subunit ribosomal RNA", at positions 335 to 657 of the family's 1533-position model. The record is from RNAcentral.
UCACCUACGGGGCGCAGCAGUGGGGAAUAUUGCACAAUGGGGGAAACCCUGAUGCAGCGACGCCGCGUGAAGGAAGAAGUAUUUCGGUAUGUAAACUUCUAUCAGCAGGGAAGAAAAUGACGGUACCUGACUAAGAAGCCCCGGCUAACUACGUGCCAGCAGCCGCGGUAAUACGUAGGGGGCAAGCGUUAUCCGGAUUUACUGGGUGUAAAGGGAGGGUAGGAGGGGCAGCAAGUCAGAAGUGAAAGCCAGGGGAUCAACUCCGGGAAUGCGUUGGAAACUGUUGAACUAGAUUGCAGGAGAGG